AUUCCUGCGCAGUGGCAGUAUCAUAGUCUAUGAAGUUCUACUGAGACGUGAUUAUUGCUAGUUGAAAACUUUAACCAAUACCCCGCCUGGUUGAUUUGCAAUAUAAUCAGCUGUGGCAAUUUUUGAUGGUCUCCUUAGAGA
Small nuclear RNA from Takifugu rubripes (torafugu), 141 nucleotides. Its record names the gene U4. It matches the Rfam family "U4 spliceosomal RNA". Rfam says of the family: U4 small nuclear RNA (U4 snRNA) is a component of the major U2-dependent spliceosome. The structure of U4 snRNA from yeast and human has been reported. U4 snRNA presents a k-turn RNA motif in the 5p-SL related to recognition of Snu13 protein. Lineage: Eukaryota; Metazoa; Chordata; Actinopteri; Tetraodontiformes; Tetraodontidae. The record is from Ensembl.